CAGCCGCCGCGGUAACACGGAGGGUGCAAGCGUUAUCCGGAUUUAUUGGGUUUAAAGGGUCCGUAGGCGGAUCUGUAAGUCAGUGGUGAAAUCUCACAGCUUAACUGUGAAACUGCCAUUGAUACUGCAGGUCUUGAGUAAAUUUGAAGUGGCUGGAAUAAGUAGUGUAGCGGUGAAAUGCAUAGAUAUUACUUAGAACACCAAUUGCGAAGGCAGGUCACUAAGAUUUAACUGACGCUGAUGGACGAAAGCGUGGGGAGCGAACAGGAUUAGAUACCCGCGUAGUCCCUGUCUCUUAUAC
This 301-nucleotide ribosomal RNA is filed under the name uncultured bacterium. RNAcentral's name for it is "partial 16S ribosomal RNA". It matches the Rfam family "Bacterial small subunit ribosomal RNA", at positions 509 to 807 of the family's 1533-position model. The record is from RNAcentral.